This 3348-nucleotide long non-coding RNA is filed under the name Capsicum annuum. RNAcentral's name for it is "long non-coding RNA (CANN_LNC003700)". The record is from RNAcentral. Lineage: Eukaryota; Viridiplantae; Streptophyta; Magnoliopsida; Solanales; Solanaceae.
UAACAACUUGUGUAAUUCACCUUUCUACUACAAAUCCAAGGUAUGAAUUUCUCUAAUUUGAUAUUAAUUUCAUGAUUUAUUGACUCAAAACCCUAAAUCAUUGUGUGUCAAUUGUAUCCCCAAAAUUGAGUGCUUGACUCAAAUUUCUUGAGGGUUUUAACUCCCUAAAGGUAAUUAGGCUAUGGGUUGGUCUUGGAAACUCCUUUCCAAGGGUGAAACCCAUUUGGGGUUUUGGUGUCCACCCAUGGCACAAUGAUGCCAUAAAGGGUAUUUUUAUUCUUAUUGUAAUGCUUGGAGUGUAUUGUUGAUAGCAUUGAUCGUGGAUGGAAAAGCUUGUCGAAAAGGAAGGAAAAAGUUCGUUGAUUCGUGAGUUACUUGGAUUCAAGGUAGGUUAGGCUUACCCGUAGUAUAGAUUGAGCUUGUUUGUAAUGUAAUUAUUGAUAUCUUGCGAGAUUGGGUGGGGUACCUAGACGAUAGUUGAUUACAUGGUGAACUUGGGAUUUAUUGAUUGCUAUAGACUAUUAAAUUGUAAGGUAUGAUAUUUGAGCCUUAGUCUAGGACCUUGGUUAGCCUAUUUGUGGUCUCAUGACUAGCGUGAGAACAUUAUAGUUGUCCUAAGUAGACAUAAUUGGUAUACGUCUCUAUCCUUAGGAGUGUAUUGACCUAUAUAAUGCCUUGAUAGGAGAUGACCUCGAUGUUGGGUUGAUCUAGGAAGGAUUCUUGAAGAGACUUUUCCUAUGACCGAGAAAGGAUUGGUAAGCCCUUUUGGUGAGGUAUGAAUGACUUAGCCUAAUCCCCUGGUAGAAGCUAGACAUGUGUUAGUAUGCUUGGCAUUGGCAUUCUCGGGAUUUAGAAGUGGGAAUUGACCCACCUUAAGCUUGAACUAAGUAAAUACUUAACGACCUAGAUACUUGGUGAUUGUCCAAGAUACAUACAUAUGUGUAGGAGUUGUGAUGGUUGCACUCGAUUAUCGUAUUACCUAGUGAUCAUGACUUGAAUACCCUUGCUAAUUGAUUACUGUGCACGUUUGGUAAAUACCCAUGCCCUUGUUGAUGCUCAUAUUACGUGUGAAGCUUAUUAGUAAGUAAAAUGGCAACCGUUAUCCGACGUCCCUACUUCUAAAUAUAUAUUGUGAGCUUUUGUGUAUGCUUAUUGGUUUGGGUAUGCAUAUGGAUGUGUGUGGUUGUAAGUGGAGGAAUAUGUGAUAUUAUGAUGAUGCUCGAUUCGAGUUCGGAGGAAUAUGUGAUAUUAUGAUGAUGCCCGAUUCGAGUCUGGAGGAAUAUGUGAUAUUAUAAUGAUGCCUGAUUCGAGUCCGGAGGAAUAUGUGAUAUUAUGAUGAUGCCCGAUUCGAGACUGGAGAAAAAGUAUGAUAUUAUAAUUAUGCCCGGUUCGAGUCCGGAGGAAUACGUUGAUAGUGUAAUGAUGCCCGGUGAAUCCGGAAGAGGUAAGCACUCAUGAAACUUCUGGUGUUAUGCAUGGUACUGAUAAUAGUAACUAUGUACAAUUCUGUCGUAUGAUUUGUUAAGACUUAUGGUAUCUUCUGGUACUUUUUGUAAUCACUACUUAAAUUGCAUCCCUUUUCUUUUGUGGUUCUAUUUGAACCACUGUAUUAAGAGGACUGGUGGUUUUCUUCUUGUGGUUUGUUGGACACUUGAAUUUAUUAGUCCCUUCUCUCUAAAAAGGAAUGAUGCAGCUGUAUCGAGACUUAAAGCAUUUCUUUAUUUUGUUACCAUUUUGUUAAAUAUUCUAAAUAUUUUUAACUGUAAAAAUCAUGAAUUAUAAUACUUUUGAAGUACCUUUUAAAUAGAUAAUUUUAUUUAGAAGAGAUUGAUCUUGCAAAUUUGUCCCACGGAGAUGGUUGGUUGAGUUGUUUAGGCAUAAGAGUAACAACCUGAAUAUUAUUCUAGAUUGGGAUUCAAGCUGUAACAAUAUCUGUUCUAGCCUGACUGAGCACUGAACAGGAUUACCCAAUUCUCAUGCUUGUAGACUAUCAUAGGUUGUUUACUGGUUUAGUUGAGGUGUAAAGCUGAUUUCGGCACUAUCGUUAUUUAAAUAGUAGCGUAUAAAAGAGGGACUCAUCUUGUCCUUUACGUUUCUGCCAAGCGAAGUAGUCCUCAUAGAAUUAAUGAGUACAUGUUUAUGCUAUGACAGUGUCUUAUACUGCUUGUGAAUUGCUGCGUGUGUCAACAUCUAUUAUGGCAGGGGUAUAAAUUGAUUGUUGUGCUAUUUCUUUUAUGUAAUUGACAUAAUUAUAUGCUUAACUGUCAUUUGUCAUGAUUUUCCAAUGUAGUAGCAUUGAAGUGUUCUGUUUGAUAGUUAAUUGAAAUGCCUACAGGAACAAAAAUUACUACUUCUUGAUCUCAGAUUGGUAAUUUGAAUCUUCUAUAUGCAUUCUAAUUCUGUUAGGUUUCAUGUUAUUCCUAUAUGAAAUGAGUUUAAGAAUAUGCUGGAUAAACUCUGUUUUCUGUCAAGUUGGAAGCUUUCAUUAUAGGACAUGCUGGAGUUUUGGCCUUAGACCCUCUGUUAAAUAGAAAAGAGAAAGCAUAUCAUGGCCUAUUUAUUGUUGGCUAAAACAGACGUACUAAUUUAUAAUUAGCAAAGUGCAUGAAAACAAAAACCAAAUGAACUUAUGCCAAACGAGCGGGGUUGUGCUACCCGCGGUUUACGAUAAAUUGAUUGAGUAGUGGUGCUUUAUGGUAUUAUUGGUUGUAUUCUUUUGUGUACUCCGUGAUGAGUUUCUUUGUAGUGCUCCCUUUCGUGUACUUCCCGAUGGUAUGGGACAUCGUGGUAAGUUCUUGUGUUUAUGUUCUAAAGAUGGUUGCUGAUGAUUAUGGCAAGUAGAUACCUUGCGAUUGUGUAUAUGGCUUUACAUUUUCUAAAUGAUACUCAGUUGUUAUGGAGAUUAUGGAGUAUAUAGAGGUAGUAUGUCAUGUUAUUGUUUUAGUAGUAUAGAUGUGUUAUAAUGGUAUCGAAGCAGAUUCAGGUUCGAUCUUAUCCCUUGACUUUAAGAUUAUUGUCUUACUUUAUAUCGUCUUUACAUUAUAUUUGAGCUCAGUCGACCGAUGAUGCCUACUGAGUACCCGUGUUUUGGUACUCAUACUACACUUCUGUACCUUUUUGGUGCAGAUCCAGGUCCUAGUUGCCGCCGUUGAGCUAGUUCUUGCGAGUUGACUAUUCAGAGAUAGGCUGACCUCUUAGAGAUUGAGUUGCCCUUUUCCCCCUCUAUCCUUAUUUGUCUUUUACUUUUGAGACAAAUGUACGAGAUUAUUUAAGACAUUUUAGAUUCUGAGAUUGUAAAUUCCUCUUGUCAAAUUUAGAAGCUCUUGUAUUAAUACUAUCAGGUCGUGG